RNAcentral lists this ribosomal RNA (466 nucleotides) under uncultured Streptococcus sp. RNAcentral describes it as "bacterial SSU rRNA". It matches the Rfam family "Bacterial small subunit ribosomal RNA", at positions 917 to 1381 of the family's 1533-position model. The record is from RNAcentral. Lineage: Bacteria; Bacillati; Bacillota; Bacilli; Lactobacillales; Streptococcaceae.
GACGGGCCCGCACAAGCAGCGGAGCGUGUGGUUUAAUUCGUUGCUACACGAAGACCUUACUGGGUUUGACAUAAUGGUGGUAGGGAUCCGAAAGGUGACCGACCCUUCGGGGAGCUUGCACAGGUGCUGCAUGGCUGUCGUCAGCUCGUGUCGUGAGAUGUUCGGUUAAGUCCCGCAACGAGCGCAACCCCUAUUGUUAGUUGCCAUCAUUCAGUUGGGCACUCUAGCGAGACUGCCGGUAAUAAACCGGAGGAAGGUGGGGAUGACGUCAAAUCAUCAUGCCCCUUAUGACCUGGGCUACACACGUGCUACAAUGGUUGGUACAACGAGUUGCGAGUCGGUGACGGCGAGCUAAUCUCUUAAAGCCAAUCUCAGUUCGGAUUGUAGGCUGCAAUUCGCCUACAUGAAGUCGGAAUCGCUAGUAAUCGCGGAUCAGCACGCCGCGGUGAAUACGUUCCCGGGCCUU